Molecule: ribosomal RNA, 471 nt
Filed under: uncultured bacterium
Lineage: Bacteria
Description: bacterial SSU rRNA
Rfam family: Bacterial small subunit ribosomal RNA
Source: RNAcentral
AUGAACGCUGGCGGCGUGUCUAAGGCAUGCAAGUCGUGCGGAUUAUUUUCGGUAGCAAUACUGGAGAUAGUCAGCGGCAAACGGGUGCGUAACACAUUGGCAAUCUGCCUCACAGUCGGGCAUAACCCCGCGAAAGCGGGACUAAUUCCACGAUGGCCUCUCCCUAACAUAUGUGAAGGAGAGUAAAGCGCAAAACGCGCUGUGAGAGGAGCCUAUGGCCUAUCAGCUAGUUGGCGGGGUAAUAGCCCACCAAGGCGAUGACGGGUAGGGGAUGUGAGAGCAUGAUCCCCCUCACUGGGACUGAGACACUGCCCAGACACCUACGGGUGGCUGCAGUCGAGAAUAUUCGGCAAUGGACGAAAGUCUGACCGAGCGACGCCGCGUGCAGGAUGAAGGGCUUCGGCUCGUAAACUGCUUUUUUCAGGGAAGAAUUCUGACGGUACCUGAAGAAUAAGAGGUUGCUAACUCUGU